This 468-nucleotide ribosomal RNA is filed under the name uncultured bacterium. RNAcentral describes it as "partial 16S ribosomal RNA". It matches the Rfam family "Bacterial small subunit ribosomal RNA", at positions 28 to 507 of the family's 1533-position model. The record is from RNAcentral.
GACGAACGCUGGCGGCGUGCUUAACACAUGCAAGUCGAACGGAAAGGCCCUGCUUUUGUGGGGUGCUCGAGUGGCGAACGGGUGAGUAACACGUGAGUAACCUGCCCUUGACUUUGGGAUAACUUCAGGAAACUGGGGCUAAUACCGGAUAGGAGCUCCUGCUGCAUGGUGGGGGUUGGAAAGUUUCGGCGGUUGGGGAUGGACUCGCGGCUUAUCAGCUUGUUGGUGGGGUAGUGGCUUACCAAGGCUUUGACGGGUAGCCGGCCUGAGAGGGUGACCGGCCACAUUGGGCCUGAGAUACGGCCCAGACUCCUACGUGAGGCAGCAGUGGGGAAUAUUGUCCAAUGGGCGGAAGCCUGAUGCAGCAACGCCGCGUGCGGGAUGACGGCCUUCGGGUUGUAAACCGCUUUCGCCUGUGACGAAGCGUGAGUGACGGUAAUGGGUAAAGAAGCACCGGCUAACUACGUG